UAGUAACGGCGAGUGAAGCGGCAACAGCUCAAAUUUGAAAUCUGGCCCUCGGGUCCGAGUUGUAAUUUGUAGAGGAUGCUUUUGGUGCGGUGCCUUCCGAGUUCCCUGGAACGGGACGCCAUAGAGGGUGAGAGCCCCGUCUGGUUGGACACCAAGCCUCUGUAAAGCUCCUUCGACGAGUCGAGUAGUUUGGGAAUGCUGCUCUAAAUGGGAGGUAUAUGUCUUCUAAAGCUAAAUACCGGCCAGAGACCGAUAGCGCACAAGUAGAGUGAUCGAAAGAUGAAAAGCACUUUGAAAAGAGGGUUAAAUAGUACGUGAAAUUGUUGAAAGGGAAGCGCUUAUGACCAGACUUGAGCCCGGUUAAUCAUCCAGCCUUCUGGCUGGUGCACUUGGCCGGCUCAGGCCAGCAUCAGUUCGGCGCGGGGGAUAAAGGCUUCGGGAAUGUGGCUCCUCCGGGAGUGUUAUAGCCCGUUGUGUAAUACCCUGCGCUGGACUGAGGUUCGCGCAUCUGCAAGGAUGCUGGCGUAAUGGUCAUCAGCGACCCGUCUUGAAACACGGACCAAGGAGUCGUCUUCGUAUGCGAGUGUUCGGGUGUCAAACCCCUACGCGUAAUGAAAGUGAACGCAGGUGAGAGCUUCGGCGCAUCAUCGACCGAUCCUGAUGUUCUCGGAUGGAUUUGAGUAAGAGCAUACGGGGCCGGACCCGAAAGAAGGUGAACUAUGCCUGUAUAGGGUGAAGCCAGAGGAAACUCUGGUGGAGGCUCGCAGCGGUUCUGACGUGCAAAUCGAUCGUCAAAUAUGGGCAU
Molecule: ribosomal RNA, 805 nt
Filed under: Cosmospora aff. viliuscula PC-2011
Lineage: Eukaryota; Fungi; Ascomycota; Sordariomycetes; Hypocreales; Nectriaceae
Description: LSU rRNA
Rfam family: Eukaryotic large subunit ribosomal RNA
Source: RNAcentral